CUUGAGAGUAGGAGCGAAAGACUAAUCAAACCCCGUGAUAGCUGGUUCUCUCCGAAAUCGCUUGAGGGCGAGCGUUGAGUAAGUACUCCGCGGAGGUAGAGCACUGAAUGGCUUAGGGACCCCACCAGGUUACCAAAACCAAUCAAACUCCGAAUUCCGCGGAUCCCAAUAACUCAGCAUUCAGGCUGUGGGGGAUAAGCUUCAUAGCCGAGAGGGCAACAGCCCAGACCGCCAGCUAAGGUGCCUAAAUGUGAUUAAGUGGAAAGGAUGUGACGUUGCUUAGACAGUGAGGAUGUUGGCUUAGAGGCAGCCACCAUUUAAACAGUGCGUAAUAGCUGACUCAUCGAGCGAUGUCGCGCCGAAAAUGAUUGGCGAUCAAAUCACAUACCGAAGCUGCGGAUUUAUGAGUGCCUUGGCACUCAUGAGUGGUAGGAGAGCGUGACCAGCGCGGUGAAGCCGAACGGAAACGGACGGUGGAGCGCUGGCCAGUGAGAAUGCAGACACGAGUAGCGAUAAACCCGGUGAGAAUCCGGGUCGCCGUAAACCCAAGGUUUCCUGGGCCAGGUUCGUCCUCCCAGGGUUAGCCGGGAGCUAAGCUGAGGCCGUAAGGCGUAAGCGAUGCACAGCAGGUUAAAUAUUCCUGCGCCGGCUGGGGCUAAGGCUGCGAAUCACGCAACGAAGGACAUCGAUAAGGUCAUCGAAAGACCGAGCUUAGGCCUCUGGCCGAAGCGCAUCGGUGGGCAAGUUGCCGAGAAAAGUUUGCAGUCGUUUCCCCGGUCGCCCGUACCGUAAACCGACACAGGUGGGUGAGUGUAAGCGCACUCAGGCGCGCGAGAGAAACCUCUCUAAGGAACUCGGCACAUUAGCCCCGUAACUUCGGGAGAAGGGGUGCCUGAAAGCGCGGCAGCAAUGUUGCGCCGUAAGGCCACAGUAAAUUGCGUUUAGCGACUGUUUAACAAAAACACAGCUCUCUGCCAAGUCGUGAAGACGACGUAUAGGGAGUGACACGUGACCAAUGCGGAAAGAUCAAAGCGUUUUGUUAGCCGCAAGGCGAAGCUCGGCGCCCAAGUCCCCGUGAAUGUCGGCCGUAACUAUAACGGUCCUAAGGUAGCGAAAUUCCUUGUCGGGUAAGUUCCGACCUGCACGAAUCGUGUAACGACUGAACGACUGUCUCGGAGAGGAUCUCGGCGAAACUGUAACGGCGGUGAAGAUGCCGCCUGCCCGCAGUAGGACGGAAAGACCCUAUGCACCUUUACUGUAAGCUCGUAUUGUGUUCUGGUUAACGAUGCUUAGCGUAGGUGGGAGACUUUGAAGCGCGGGCUUCGGUUCGCGUCGAGUCGCAAUGUGAAACACCACUCUUCGCUAAUUAGGAUUCUAACCCCGAUUCCUGUCAGCCAGGCGGGGGACAGUGCGUGCGGGUCAGUUUGACUGGGGCGGUUUCCUCCCAAAGAGUAACGGAGGAGCGCGAAGCUUGGCUCAGCAUGGUUGGCAACCAUGCGUUGAGGGUAUGGCUAGAAGCCAGGUUAACUGUGAGACCUACAAGUCGAGCAGGUGCGAAAGCAGGCCCAAAUGAUCCGACGGUUUAAUGUGGAAUUGCCGUCGCUCAACGGACAAAAGGUACGCUAGGGAUAACAGGCUGAUCGGGUCCAAGAGUUCACAUCGACGACCCGGUUUGGCACCUCGAUGUCGGCUCAUCGCAUCCUGGGGCUGGAGAAGGUCCCAAG
RNAcentral lists this ribosomal RNA (1724 nucleotides) under groundwater metagenome. RNAcentral's name for it is "bacterial LSU rRNA". It matches the Rfam family "Bacterial large subunit ribosomal RNA", at positions 808 to 2569 of the family's 2925-position model. The record is from RNAcentral.